CCCUUAGAUGUUCUGGGCCGCACGCGUGCUACACUGAUGCAUUCAACGAGUCUAAAACCUGGUCUGAUAGGGCUGGGUAAUCUUUUGAACGUGCAUCGUGAUUGGGAUAGAUGAUUGCAAUUCUUCAUCUUCAACGAGGAAUGCCUAGUAAACGCAAGUCAUCAGCUUGCAUUGAUUACGUCCCUGCCCUUUGUACACACCGCCCGUCGCUCCUACCGAUUGAAUGAUCCGAUGAAUACCAUGGAUUGAGAGUACGAAUAGGUUCGCUUAUUUCUGCUGCUCGAGAAGUGGAGUAAAUCUUAUCAUUUAGAGGAAGGAGAAGUCGUAACA
This 330-nucleotide ribosomal RNA is filed under the name uncultured eukaryote. Its description in RNAcentral is "partial 18S ribosomal RNA". It matches the Rfam family "Eukaryotic small subunit ribosomal RNA", at positions 1470 to 1796 of the family's 1831-position model. The record is from RNAcentral.